UGGGGGAUUUUGCACAAUGGGCGCAAGCCUGAUGCAGCGACGCCGCGUGAGGGAUGAAGGCCUUCGGGUUGUAAACCUCUUUCGCUGGGUUGAAAGGCCAUGCUUUGGGUGUGGUUGAUUUGAACUGGUAAAGAAGUACCGGCUAACUACGUGCCAGCAGCCGCGGUAAUACGUAGGGUACUAGCGUUGUCCGGAUUUAUUGGGCGUAAAGAGCUUGUAGGCGGUUUGUCGCGUCGAUAGUGUAAACACGCAGCUUAACUGUGUGCCUGCUGUCGAUACGGGCUGACUAGAGGAGGGUAGGGGAGAAUGGAAUUCCCGGUGGAGCGGUGGAAUGCGCAGAUAUCGGGAGGAACACCAGUGGCGAAGGCGGUUCUCUGGACCUUUCCUGACGCUGAGAAGCGAAAGCGUGGGUAGCAAACAGG
This 422-nucleotide ribosomal RNA is filed under the name Fusobacteriota bacterium. Its description in RNAcentral is "Fusobacteria bacterium partial 16S ribosomal RNA". It matches the Rfam family "Bacterial small subunit ribosomal RNA", at positions 355 to 776 of the family's 1533-position model. The record is from RNAcentral. Lineage: Bacteria; Fusobacteriati; Fusobacteriota.